GGGACGCGCGUGCUUACACAUGCAGUCGACGAUGAAGCCCUUCGGGGUGGAUUAGUGGCGAACGGGUGAGUAACACGUGGGCAAUCUGCCCUUCACUCUGGGACAAGCCCUGGAAACGGGGUCUAAUACCGGAUAUGAUCACCGGCCGCAUGGUCUGGUGAUGGAAAGCUCCGGCGGUGAAGGAUGAGCCCGCGGCCUAUCAGCUUGUUGGUGGGGUGAUGGCCUACCAAGGCGACGACGGGUAGCCGGCCUGAGAGGGCGACCGGCCACACUGGGACUGAGACACGGCCCAGACUCCUACGGGAGGCAGCAGUGGGGAAUAUUGCACAAUGGGCGAAAGCCUGAUGCAGCGACGCCGCGUGAGGGAUGACGGCCUUCGGGUUGUAAACCUCUUUCAGCAGGGAAGAAGCGAGAGUGACGGUACCUGCAGAAGAAGCGCCGGCUAACUACGUGCCAGCAGCCGCGGUAAUACGUAGGGCGCAAGCGUUGUCCGGAAUUAUUGGGCGUAAAGAGCUCGUAGGCGGCUUGUCGCGUCGGAUGUGAAAGCCCGGGGCUUAACCCCGGGUCUGCAUUCGAUACGGGCAGGCUAGAGUUCGGUAGGGGAGAUCGGAAUUCCUGGUGUAGCGGUGAAAUGCGCAGAUAUCAGGAGGAACACCGGUGGCGAAGGCGGAUCUCUGGGCCGAUACUGACGCUGAGGAGCGAAAGCGUGGGGGCGCAAAAACGAAAGGGCGCGAAGCGGGGGAAAG
This 746-nucleotide ribosomal RNA is filed under the name Streptomyces ramulosus. RNAcentral's name for it is "bacterial SSU rRNA". It matches the Rfam family "Bacterial small subunit ribosomal RNA", at positions 39 to 830 of the family's 1533-position model. Lineage: Bacteria; Bacillati; Actinomycetota; Actinomycetes; Kitasatosporales; Streptomycetaceae. The record is from RNAcentral.